RNAcentral lists this ribosomal RNA (406 nucleotides) under uncultured bacterium. RNAcentral's name for it is "partial 16S ribosomal RNA". It matches the Rfam family "Bacterial small subunit ribosomal RNA", at positions 30 to 526 of the family's 1533-position model. The record is from RNAcentral.
AUUGAACGCUGGCGGCAGGCCUAACACAUGCAAGUCGAGCGAGCGGCGGACGGGUGAGUAAUGUAUGGGGAUCUGCCUGCUGGCGGGGGAUCACUACUGGAACCGGUAUCUAAUACCGCAUACCCACAGCUGAACCCAUAUGGGAUUAGCUAGUAGGUGAGGUAAAGGCUGACCGAGGCGUCGAUCCCUAGCUGGGCUGAGAGGAUGAUCAGCAAGAGUGGGACUGAGACACGGCCCAGACGCCUACGUGAGGCAGCAGUGGGGAAUAUUGCACAAUGGGCGAAAGCCUGAUGCAGCCAUGCCGCGUGUAUGAAGACGGCUUUCGGGUUGUAAAGUACUUUCAGUCGGGAGGCGUUACCGACAGAAGAAGCACCGGCUAACUCCGUGCCAGCAGCCGCGGUAAUAC